UCUGGCGAUGUGACUAAGUUCUAGCCAGUGGUUUGCAAGCAGUAGUGAGGAAGUUUCCUUGAAGAGAAGGAAUGUUCCUUUAGCUUCCCCUUUCCUUCUCGCUGCAAUCUGGAAAGCAGACGUGAUGGCUGGUGUUGGAGCAGCAAACUUGGCCUUGAAGUGACCUCGUAAACCUGAGGGGACCACAGCAUGGAAGGUGCCGCUUCACGACACUGUGGAGUAUUAUACUAACUAGAGGACUCUAUCUCUGGAUAUCCUAUCUCUGGAUUUGUGGUGACAAACCUCACUCUCAGGACUAAUAGCAGAAUGGAGAAGACAGAAAAAAAAAAUCAGUGAAUGUAAAAGUUCACCAGUAGAAAUGUUCCAAUCUGAAGAAGAAGGAGAAAGAUUUCUUAAAAAAGAACAAGCCCUCUAGGAUUUGUAGGACAAUAGCAGACGUCUACUGAUGUCUGAGAAGAAAGGAGAGAAAUGAUGGGGCAGAAAAAAUAUUUGAAGAAAUAGUGACUGAAAAUUUCCCCGAUCUGCUGAAAGUCAUGAAUUUAUAGAUUCAAGAAAUCCAGUGAACCCCAAGGAAAAUAAACGUAAAUAAAACCACAUCUGGAUGCAUUAUAGUCAGAAUACUGAAAACUAGAGAGAAAGAGAAUAUUUGAAAGCAGCGAGAGAAAAACAACACAUUACAUAGUGGGCAACAGUAAUUUUGACACCCACAGACUUCUUGUGAGAAAACAUGGAGUACCAGAAAAUAGUGGAACAACAUCGUUAAAGUACCAGAAGGAAACAUUGUCAACCUAGAAUUCUAUAUACAGCAAAUAUAUCCCUCCAAAAAGAAAGCAGACACUCUUUUACAAUGCCAGCAGAUCUUCACUGGAAGAAAAGCAAAACAAGUUCUUCAAGCUGGUGGGAAAUUAUACCAGAGGGAAACUUGGACCCCCAGAAAGGAAUAAAGAACACCAGUAAUGGCAGUGUGCUCCUGAAGGGGACCAUCUCUCUGCUGAGUUCCCAGGCUUGAGGACAGAACUGGAUGCUUAUGGCAUGGUCCUGACCAAAUGCAGAACAUCCCAGAAUCAGCACCCAGGAGGACACAGCCGUCACGGAAUCCAACCUGACAAAUGUCUCAGUCUCCCUUAAUAGAAAUCUCUCAUCUAAGAUUAGUUUUUAAACAGAUUUCUUAAGGUAAUUAACGUGCACAUUAUAUUUUUAAAAACUUGGCCAUUAAAAGUCAGCCUUCCUCCUAUCCUGGAACUAUAAACGAAUAAACCCAAAGUUUUGCUAUGUGUUCAGUCUGAACCCCCUCCUGGGGGACAGGUGGCAGGGCGUGGGGUGGGGCUGGACACACCAGCGACAGGAGCAGUUGGGUUUUGCAUUCUUCUCUGCUCAAGCAGAUGUCUGCCUCAUGUUCUUUUUUUAGCUUUGGAAACCAACUUCCUGGAAUCUAUGUCCUCACCAUGGGCAAGCAAUAAUAGUAUUCCAGAAAGCUUGCUUUUAUGGAGGAAAAUCCAGCUAAGCAUAGUGGGCUGGUCCUGCCAGUUUCAUAAAACGCAGAAUUUGCAUGAAGAGGAAAGUCCUUCAUAACUGAGAGUUGAAGGAGUAUGGGUGGGGGAGUGUAGCUAGAAAUAAUCUCUGCUGGUUAAAUUUAGGGAUUUAAAAAACAAGCCACUGGUGAAACGCUAUUUAAUAUUCAAAUGGUUUGGAAUUGUUUCUCUUCAGAGGACAGGAAAGAGUGGAAAAGUGAAAAGGUCAUGGGCUAUGGAAUCUGAUAGAAUUGGUUUCAUUCCCAUUCUGUCGCUCAUGGCGGUAGCAAGUCACUAAGCACUAAGCCUCAGUUUUCCCAUCUGUGAAAUGAUCCUGGCAUAUAGUAAAUACUUGACAAAUACAGUUUUCCUACCCAUCACUUCCAUCUCCCUGUGCUUUGGUGUUUUCUGGCUGCCAAAUAACAAACCAUUCCCAAACCGACUGCCCUCAAUGGACGAGGCGUUACUCGUGCUGAGUGCUCAAGCCGCAUCCAGUCAUGGCUUCUGGUAUUCUCGCCCUUCUUUGAUCCUCUGCCCUUAUGUGUGGCUGGACACAGUGACU
Long non-coding RNA from Acinonyx jubatus (cheetah), 2073 nucleotides. RefSeq lists it as uncharacterized. The record is from RefSeq and is a predicted model, not a curated record. Lineage: Eukaryota; Metazoa; Chordata; Mammalia; Carnivora; Felidae. The transcript is spliced from 3 exons.